This 253-nucleotide ribosomal RNA is filed under the name uncultured bacterium. RNAcentral describes it as "partial 16S ribosomal RNA". It matches the Rfam family "Bacterial small subunit ribosomal RNA", at positions 524 to 776 of the family's 1533-position model. The record is from RNAcentral.
GACGAGCCACACAAACGUUAUUCGGAAUUACUGGGCUUAAAGGGUGCGUAGGCGGCGCGGAAAGUGGGGUGUGAAAGCCCUCGGCUCAACCGAGGAAUUGCGCUCCAAACUACCGUGCUCGAGGGAGAUAGAGGUUAGCGGAACUUCGGGUGGAGCGGUGAAAUGCGUUGAUAUCCGAAGGAACACCGGUGGCGAAAGCGGCUAACUGGGUCUUCUCUGACGCUGAUGCACGAAAGCCAGGGUAGCAAACGGG